AUAGCAUGACCCCCGUCAUGAUAGUAUAUCUAUGCAAAGAGCAGAGGCUGACAGAAUACAGACCAGAAUGUUAACAGUGGGUAUCACUGGGUUGUAAGAUAACAGUGAUUUUUAAAUGUUCUGUUCUUAUAUUAUUUUCUGAAAUUUCUACUUGUGUCCUAACAGGGUUUUUAAAAUAUUUCUUGGGUAAGGCAAAUCAGAGUUUCUAAACCUGGUCAUCAGU
This 223-nucleotide long non-coding RNA is filed under the name Homo sapiens (human). RNAcentral describes it as "non-protein coding lnc-POLR1A-5:1". The record is from RNAcentral. Lineage: Eukaryota; Metazoa; Chordata; Mammalia; Primates; Hominidae.